This 62-nucleotide transfer RNA is filed under the name Urocitellus parryii (Arctic ground squirrel). RNAcentral describes it as "Spermophilus parryii (Arctic ground squirrel) tRNA". It matches the Rfam family "tRNA". From Rfam's summary of the family: Transfer RNA (tRNA) molecules are approximately 80 nucleotides in length. Their secondary structure includes four short double-helical elements and three loops (D, anti-codon, and T loops). RNAcentral also lists the same sequence under 2 other names. Lineage: Eukaryota; Metazoa; Chordata; Mammalia; Rodentia; Sciuridae. The record is from Rfam by way of RNAcentral.
GAGAUUGUGGCUCAGUGGUAGAGCACUUGCCUGGCAUGUGUGAGGCCCUGUGUUCAAUCUCA